This 1372-nucleotide ribosomal RNA is filed under the name Streptomyces sp. Act34. Its description in RNAcentral is "bacterial SSU rRNA". It matches the Rfam family "Bacterial small subunit ribosomal RNA", at positions 66 to 1444 of the family's 1533-position model. The record is from RNAcentral. Lineage: Bacteria; Bacillati; Actinomycetota; Actinomycetes; Kitasatosporales; Streptomycetaceae.
ACGAUGAACCACCUUCGGGUGGGGAUUAGUGGCGAACGGGUGAGUAACACGUGGGCAAUCUGCCCUGCACUCUGGGACAAGCCCUGGAAACGGGGUCUAAUACCGGAUACUGACCCUCGCAGGCAUCUGCGAGGUUCGAAAGCUCCGGCGGUGCAGGAUGAGCCCGCGGCCUAUCAGCUAGUUGGUGAGGUAAUGGCUCACCAAGGCGACGACGGGUAGCCGGCCUGAGAGGGCGACCGGCCACACUGGGACUGAGACACGGCCCAAACUCCUACGGGAGGCAGCAGUGGGGAAUAUUGCACAAUGGGCGAAAGCCUGAUGCAGCGACGCCGCGUGAGGGAUGACGGCCUUCGGGUUGUAAACCUCUUUCAGCAGGGAAGAAGCGAAAGUGACGGUACCUGCAAAAAAAGCGCCGGCUAACUACGUGCCAGCAGCCGCGGUAAUACGUAGGGCGCAAGCGUUGUCCGGAAUUAUUGGGCGUAAAGAGCUCGUAGGCGGCUUGUCACGUCGGUUGUGAAAGCCCGGGGCUUAACCCCGGGUCUGCAGUCGAUACGGGCAGGCUAGAGUUCGGUAGGGGAGAUCGGAAUUCCUGGUGUAGCGGUGAAAUGCGCAGAUAUCAGGAGGAACACCGGUGGCGAAGGCGGAUCUCUGGGCCGAUACUGACGCUGAGGAGCGAAAGCGUGGGGAGCGAACAGGAUUUAGAUACCCUGGUAGUCCACGCCGUAAACGGUGGGCACUAGGUGUGGGCAACAUUCCACGUUGUCCGUGCCGCAGCUAACGCAUUAAGUGCCCCGCCUGGGGAGUACGGCCGCAAGGCUAAAACUCAAAGGAAUUGACGGGGGCCCGCACAAGCGGCGGAGCAUGUGGCUUAAUUUGACGCAACGCGAAGAACCUUACCAAGGCUUGACAUACACCGGAAAACCCUGGAGACAGGGUCCCCCUUGUGGUCGGUGUACAGGUGGUGCAUGGCUGUCGUCAGCUCGUGUCGUGAGAUGUUGGGUUAAGUCCCGCAACGAGCGCAACCCUUGUCCCGUGUUGCCAGCAGGCCCUUGUGGUGCUGGGGACUCACGGGAGACCGCCGGGGUCAACUCGGAGGAAGGUGGGGACGACGUCAAGUCAUCAUGCCCCUUAUGUCUUGGGCUGCACACGUGCUACAAUGGCCGGUACAAUGAGCUGCGAUACCGCGAGGUGGAGCGAAUCUCAAAAAGCCGGUCUCAGUUCGGAUUGGGGUCUGCAACUCGACCCCAUGAAGUCGGAGUCGCUAGUAAUCGCAGAUCAGCAUUGCUGCGGUGAAUACGUUCCCGGGCCUUGUACACACCGCCCGUCACGUCACGAAAGUCGGUAACACCCGAAGCCGGUGGCCCAACCCCUU